Molecule: long non-coding RNA, 1574 nt
Organism: Cyprinus carpio (common carp)
Lineage: Eukaryota; Metazoa; Chordata; Actinopteri; Cypriniformes; Cyprinidae
Source: Ensembl
AUAUCAAAAAGGCACUGGCAUCGGGUUUGGUUCAGUCAUUUGCCUGUUUGAAAGACUCCUCAAGCAGUGGCAGCGAAAUAUGGUACACCCCAGGACGGAGCCAACGGCCAGCCACUGGAUUCCUGGAGGAAAGGCUGCAGAAUGUCAGGAAGCGGCUGAGAUCAACCAGCAAGUCGCGGAGCAUGGCACAGACGACACCAGCACAAAUGCCAAAUGAUGGCGCUCUUGCCAGGGCUCUCAUACCAGAAUGUACCAUAUCAGAUGAAUGUGCGUCACAGUUUAAAGAAUGGUUGAGAAACAAUUCUCAGCCCCUCAGCCAGAUAGAGACCUACAUGCAGAACACAGCAGUCUACAGGGCCAAGAGGAUUAGGGACAACAAUUGGACCAUCGAUCAGAUCCUCGAAGAGUUCCCUCGCUUAAUGACCAAAGGCAUGAUUGCACAGGACUUUCUUGUCCUAUAUGGGGAUGCUGCAUCAAAGUUGUUUGAAACUUGGCUACCCAUUUAUGCUGAGAAGAUCCUGUACCUGGCAAGACAGGAGGGGAAGCUAACAUUGCCCCUGGAUGGAUUAACACCAGAUGGUGUUGGGGAACUCGCCCUGAGACAGUUGCCAGCCUUGCUUCCACCUACAACUUACAAAGUUGGCCGUGGACGCGGUGUGAAAGUAGUUCGCCACACCAUUCAGGAAUGCAGCUUGGCCUUCAUCAACCAUAAGCCUGUAAGUCCUCAAGCACAUCUAAAGGGGAAACUUUAUUCAUUUUAUCAACAUAUCUGAGCUCAGCACGCACACAUGCAUAUCCAGGUUUGUUUUACUAUACUUUUGGGGACAGGCAUCAAAUAUAGCCUGACAGUAUUAGCUGUUCUAAAAGCUUACAACUCGUUGGUCACUAUCAAAGCAUCCUAGAACACCUCAGCAGUGCCACAGGCUGAUUACCUCUGUACCACACCGCACUGAUGCAGUCAUUUGUUCAAAGUAUUGAGUGCAGAAAUUAACAUUUAUCAGAAGGUUGACACUUUUGUAUUUUAACCCAUUUGGACCUGACUCCAUAAGGUUGACUCUAAAGAAGUCUUCUAAAUCUACAAAGCAUUUGCGGCCCACCUAUCUGACCACCUAACCCUGCUGCCUGUCGGUCAGAUAGGAUAGUGAGAUAGGUGGGCCGCACGCAUUUUCUGAGCAUGUUUAUUGUAAUGUUAGAUCAUCAAUCAAUUUCUGGCUUUUUAGGUCAAUUGAGGUCUGAAUCCUUUUUUUAAUUGUUUUCUGUAAUGUAAGCUAUAUGCUCUAAGACUUAGUCAAAAAAGGUUUGGAAUAUUUCGUUAUGUGCAAUGAAAUGUAGACUAUUACAGUUCAACUUUUUGAAGUAGAAAUGCACUGAAUCUUUUCCAAAUUGUAAAGCUAACUAGACUUUAUCAUAAAACAAUUAUUUCUCUAGUGAGGACCAGGAAAAUGGUCCUCACAAUGUCUGUAUUUUAAUUCUACUAUAGUAGUCGGUAGACAUUUGGUCCUUACUCACUCGCUCUCUCGCUCUCUUGUAUUUUCUUUUUUAGCCUGGAAUAAACAUGGUGUACCAUGAGGCCA